Molecule: ribosomal RNA, 591 nt
Filed under: Triticum aestivum (bread wheat)
Lineage: Eukaryota; Viridiplantae; Streptophyta; Magnoliopsida; Poales; Poaceae
Description: partial small subunit ribosomal RNA
Source: RNAcentral
CUGUCCAAACUUACACUGGAGAGCGAUUUUUGCGACAUUGAUGACGGCAGUUCCCAGAGUUGUAAAGCUCGGAAGGUGGCUGUGCUAGCUUCACGGUCCAUCGUUGCUCUCUCUUCAUUUUCAGAUGAAAAGAGGAUAAGAGUUUGCUCAGGAUUCGUGAUAUCAUCCAAUGCUUGUACAGAUACCUACAAAAUCUUAACUUCGGCAACACUAAUAAGGUCUCUUAACACGAAUAACAUUUUGAUUCUAGAUGUAAAGAUCAAGGUGUGUUUACCAAAUGGGGAUAUCUCUGAUGGCAUCAUAUCCAUGGUAGAUUUUCACUAUAACAUAGCUGUUGUUAAAGUGAAAUCUGAUCAGAAACUUCCAGAGGCAGUUAUGAUUAGUGAAGUUAUCAAAAGAGGAGCCGUGUUAGCGAUUGGACGUUUCUAUGAUCAUGGUAGAGUGAUGUGCGCACAAGGUAAAAUCAUAAAACAAGCAAGUACAUUUGAUUGCUCGGAGCUUCUAGUAUCAAGCUGCCAGACGACCAUGGUAAGCCCUACUAUAGCGCUUUUAUCUCCGCAUUCACUAAACGAAAUGCCGAACUGGUGUUAG